This 416-nucleotide ribosomal RNA is filed under the name uncultured bacterium. Its description in RNAcentral is "bacterial SSU rRNA". It matches the Rfam family "Bacterial small subunit ribosomal RNA", at positions 32 to 428 of the family's 1533-position model. The record is from RNAcentral.
AACGCUGGCGGCGUGCUUAACACAUGCAAGUCGCACGAGAAAGCCUUGGCUUGCCAGGGCGAGUAAAGUGGCGCACGGGUGAGUAACGCGUGGGUAAUCUACCCCUGAAUUUGGGAUAACAGCUCGAAAGGGCUGCUAAUACCGGAUAACAUCAUAAUUUCUUCGGAGGUUUUGAUCAAAGGUGGCCUCUACAUGUAAGCUAUUGUUUGGGGAUGAGCCCGCGUACCAUUAGCUAGUUGGUGGGGUAAUGGCCUACCAAGGCUACGAUGGUUAGCUGGUCUGAGAGGAUGAUCAGCCACACUGGAACUGACACACGGUCCAGACUCCUACGGGAGGCAGCAGUGAGGAAUUUUGCGCAAUGGGGGAAACCCUGACGCAGCAACGCCGCGUGAGUGAUGAAGGCCUUCGGGUCGUAA